This 265-nucleotide ribosomal RNA is filed under the name uncultured bacterium. Its description in RNAcentral is "partial 16S ribosomal RNA". It matches the Rfam family "Bacterial small subunit ribosomal RNA", at positions 793 to 1055 of the family's 1533-position model. The record is from RNAcentral.
GUCCACGCUGUAAACGAUGGAUGCUAGCCGUCAGCAAGCAUGCUUGUUGGUGGCGCAGCUAACGCAUUAAGCAUCCCGCAUGGGGAGUACGGCCGCAAGGUUAAAACUCAAAGGAAUUGACGGGGGCCCCGCACAAGCGGUGGAGCAUGUGGUUUAAUUCGACGCAACGCGAAGAACCUUACCAACCCUUGACAUGCCCGGUCGGUUUCCAGAGAUGGAUUCCUCCUAGCAAUGGGCCGGAGCACAGGUGCUGCAUGGCUGUCGU